GAUGAAGAACGUAGCGAAAUGCGAUAAGUAGUGUGAAUUGCAGAAUUCAGUGAAUCAUCGAAUCUUUGAACGCACAUUGCGCCCCUUGGUAUCCCGAGGGGCAUGCCUGUUCGAGCGUCAUUUCACCACUCAAGCCUGGCUUGGUGUUGGGCGACGUCCCCUUUGGGGACGCGCCUCGAAACGCUCGGCGGCGUGGCACCGGCUUUAAGCGUAGCAGAAUCUUUCGCUUUGGAAGUCGGGGCCCCGUCUGCCGGAAGACCUACUCGCAAGGUUGACCUCUGAUCAGGCAGGGAUACCCGCUGAACUUAAGCAUAUCAAUAAGCGGAGGA
This 329-nucleotide unclassified non-coding RNA is filed under the name soil metagenome. RNAcentral describes it as "partial contains 5.8S ribosomal RNA, internal transcribed spacer 2, and large subunit ribosomal RNA". The stretch from base 1 to 120 matches the Rfam family "5.8S ribosomal RNA", at positions 35 to 154 of the family's 154-position model. The record is from RNAcentral.